CCAAUAGCGUAUAUUAAAGUUGUUGCAGUUAAAAAGCUCGUAGUUGAAUUUCGGGAUUGACACAUCGGUCGUGCCUUAAGGGGUAUGAACUGGUGUAGUCAAUUUCUCACCUUCUGGAGAACCGCGAUGUCCUUAAUUGGGUGCCGCGAGGAACCAGGACCUUUACUUUGAAAAAAUUAGAGUGUUUAAAGCAGGCAUUUUUGCUUGAAUACAUUAGCAUGGAAUAAUAAAAUAGGACGGCAUGAUUCUAUUUUGUUGGUUUCUAGGAUCACCGUAAUGAUUAAUAGGGAUAGUUGGGGGCAUUAGUAUUCAAUUGUCAGAGGUGAAAUUCUUGGAUUUAUUGAAGACUAACUACUGCGAAAGCAUUUGCCAAGGAUGUUUUCAUUAAUCAAGAACGAAAGUUAGGGGAUCGAAGACGAUCAGAUACCGUCGUAGUCUUAACCAUAAACUAUGCCGACUAGGAAUCAGACGAUGUUAAUUUUUUAAUGACUCGUUUGGCACCUUACA
Molecule: ribosomal RNA, 507 nt
Filed under: uncultured Glomeromycotina
Lineage: Eukaryota; Fungi; Glomeromycota
Description: partial small subunit ribosomal RNA
Rfam family: Eukaryotic small subunit ribosomal RNA
Source: RNAcentral